This 463-nucleotide ribosomal RNA is filed under the name uncultured bacterium. Its description in RNAcentral is "partial 16S ribosomal RNA". It matches the Rfam family "Bacterial small subunit ribosomal RNA", at positions 28 to 507 of the family's 1533-position model. The record is from RNAcentral.
GACGAACGCUGGCGGCGUGCUUAACACAUGCAAGUCGAACGGAAAGGCCUUUUCGGAGGUACUCGAGUGGCGAACGGGUGAGUAACACGUGGGUGAUCUGCCCUGCACUCUGGGAUAAGCCUGGGAAACUGGGUCUAAUACCGGAUAGGACCGCACUUUAGUGUGUGUGGUGGAAAGUUUUUUCGGUGUAGGAUGAGCCCGUGGCCUAUCAGCUUGUUGGUGGGGUAAUGGCCUACCAAGGCGGCGACGGGUAGCCGGACUGAGAGGUUGGUCGGCCACAUUGGGACUGAGAGACGGCCCAGACUCCUACGGGAGGCAGCAGUGGGGAAUAUUGCACAAUGGGCGCAAGCCUGAUGCAGCGACGCCGCGUAGGGGAUGACGGCCUUCGGGUUGUAAACUCCAUUCGCCAGGGACGAAGCGUUUUGUGACGGUACCUGGAGAAGAAGCACCGGCUAACUACGUG